UGGGUAACCUGCCUUGUACUGGGGGAGUAGCAGCUGGAAACGGCUGGUAAUACCGCAUAAGCGCACAAUGUUGCAUGACAUGGUGUGAAAAACUACCGGUGGUAUAAGAUGGACCCGCGUCUGAUUAGCUAGUUGGUGAGAUAACAGCCCACCAAGGCGACGAUCAGUAGCCGACCUGAGAGGGUGACCGGCCACAUUGGGACUGAGACACGGCCCAGACUCCUACGGGAGGCAGCAUG
RNAcentral lists this ribosomal RNA (239 nucleotides) under uncultured bacterium. RNAcentral's name for it is "partial 16S ribosomal RNA". It matches the Rfam family "Bacterial small subunit ribosomal RNA", at positions 118 to 353 of the family's 1533-position model. The record is from RNAcentral.